CCUACGGGUGGCAGCAGUAGGGAAUAUUGCUCAAUGGGGGAAAGCCUGAAGCAGCAACGCCGCGUGGAGGAUGAAGGUUUUCGGAUUGUAAACCCCUGUUGUUAGAGAAGAUAAUGACGGUAUCUAACGAAUAAGCACCGGCUAACUCCGUGCCAGCAGCCGCGGUAAUACGGAGGGUGCAAGCGUUACUCGGAAUCACUGGGCGUAAAGAGCGCGUAGGCGGGAUAGCAAGUCAGAUGUGAAAUCCUAUGGCUUAACCAUAGAACUGCAUUUGAAACUGUUAAUCUAGAGUAUGGGAGAGGUAGGUGGAAUUCUUGGUGUAGUGGUAAAAUCCGUAGAGAUCAAGAGGAAUACUCAUUGCGAAGGCGACCUGCUAGAACAUAACUGACGCUGAGGAGCGAAAGCGUGGGUAGCAAACAGGAUUAGAUACCCGAGUAGUC
RNAcentral lists this ribosomal RNA (440 nucleotides) under uncultured bacterium. Its description in RNAcentral is "partial 16S ribosomal RNA". It matches the Rfam family "Bacterial small subunit ribosomal RNA", at positions 338 to 795 of the family's 1533-position model. The record is from RNAcentral.